CUUACUGCCAGCCUUAUUAAUGUUAUUAAUAAUUUCAAUACCUUAUUUACUAACCAUAUGACACAAUAGCUUGUUGCGAGUAACAGUCAUCGGGGAGAAUUCAAUCAAUGGCUAGAAAACAAGGAGUCACUUUUGGCUAGUAGACUUAGCAGGUAGCGAGCGUGUGGGAAAAAUCGAAACUGAGGGAGAAAGAUUAAAGGAAUCUUAAUUCAUAAACAAGUCUCUUUCGGCAGUAGGUGAUGUUAUUUCUGCUCUUGCUUCCAAAGCAGCCCACAUUGCUUACAGUAGAGACACUAUAUUCACUGGAAUGUUUUGCCACACGUAUUCGUGGAAUUGAGAGUGGCCCAGCUCGCAAACAAGUAGACCUCAGUGAGCUGUUUAAGUACACACAAAUGGCAGAAAAGGCCAAACACGACGAGAAGGAAACAAAGAAGAUACAUGAUAGCCUGCAAAAUUUGCAACUCAGACUUGCUGAGAGAGAAUACCAUUGUAAAAACUUUCAAGAAAAGGUACGGUACCUGGAGAAUCAAGUAGCAGAAGAAAAAAAACUAGACUAAAGCAAGAAAAACUAGACCACCACCUGUACAAUCAACAACACAGAAAGUUCUACGAUGGAUCAGAAACAUAGUUCAGGAGUUUGGAAUUCCAAACAUCACUUUCACCACUACUAAAGUUGUAGAUCUGUUCCCUCUUCAGUAGUGUUUUCUGCCUAGUGUAGGUUAAAUGCUCCCUAACCUUAGUUGCAUCGGCAAAAUUUCCCAUAUCCUCAGGUCAACGUAUCAUCAUUGAAAACCAAUGCAUCUUCAGUUCAGCUAGUUGGGAUGGGUAUUUACUUGCACUAUCCUUGGUUAUCACAUCAAUAGUUAAGUAAGUUUGGUUAUUUGUGUUUAUAGAAUUCAGUAUGUUUUUUCUCUUGUUUUUCUUGUGUUUUAUGUUUCUAUUCCAGGCUUCUCAUAUUGCUUGCCUACUUAUUGUUGCUACUGUGGAUGGUUUAUCCUGCACUAUAUCAAAAUACACAAUGUACUGCUCGUCUUUCUAAACGGAAGCUAAAGCUGCGAUAUAGUAUCAUGGCCCUAAUCUAUGAGUAGGUAUGCUAAAGAUUUAUUGGUUGUACAUAAUAAUGAAAUUCACAUGUUGUCGGUCAUCAUAAAGAUUUUUGGUCUGCAGAGGAUUAUACCUUCAUGUAGUCAAAAGGUAAUGUUUUUUUUUUUUUUAGACCUGGGUAGUUUUUCUUGAGUAAUUAUCAAUUACUAAUGCAACUUGCAUUUCAAUACUUGCAAAUCAGAAAGAUAUUUGAACCACUUACAUCUUUCAUGACAAAGAACUUCAAAUUUAUUUCCUUUAAUUAGGAGGACCAUAUUUAUAUAUAUGAUAUCUAUCUUUCAGUUUCGCUUUGUUGUUAUGGGAAAUGUUUUCUGCACAGAAUUAAGGAUCCAUAGGGAAUUCGAUUUAAAAGGUUCAUCGCUUGGACAUUCUUCUGACACAAUAGAAAUUGAUGAGAAUACCACUCCGAAAGAUUUGGAUUUGAACCACUGCUUUUACUUGGGACCGUCUUUGGCAGGAGUCUUUAUUAAAAUGGAACAAAAACAAUGGGCAGCUAGUACUUUCAAAGAAGGUCAUUGUUCUCUACAAUGGUGUGGAUGGAAUAUAUUUUCCAAGUCUUGAGUUGAUGUGCUAUGUGUAGAUGGGUUGAAGAUUGGGACUACAACAAAAUUAUAAUCUGUGUCAGGCCACAUUGGGUCACUCAUUCUUGGAAUUUAAAAAGCAUUAAAUGACAAAUCAUCUACCUCAAUUUUGAAGCCCUAAAUGUGUAGCUGAUUUUGGUUUUCAUUCAGGGCUGAAAAGUUUUCUGGUCUAAAGAGGAAGUUAGUUGAUGAAGUAGGAAAAUGCAAAGGUCUACAGUCAGUGCUAUACAUAUUAAUUGUGUCAGAUUAGAGAAGCUACUCUUUUUGCCUUGUCCUCUCUUUCAGAACAACUGCUUGAGACACAGGAGUCAGGGUUUCGGACAAGUAACUUGAAGAACAUGAUUGAACAGAUUGUUGCCGAGGACUUUUUAAUAGGUCAUUUCUCAAAUGCUUCGUUAAGCUUCUGUUAUGCUUCAUUUGUGACAGAUUCUCUUGAAUACCCCUUUCUAUAUGCUUGUAUCUUUACUUCAGCUGCCAAAUUCUCCUCUGUGAUAAGCAAUGAAGUACUAGAGCACUCUCUUGAUGCUGCACUAAAGGCAAUUACAAUGAAUGUGCCUCCACCUGUAAAAGUAGGUGCCUGCAGGGCACUUGCUCAACUUCUACCUAAAGCAAAGAAAGAAAUUGUCCAACCACAGUUAUUCGGUUUAUUUUCAUCCCUCACGGAUCUUCUUAAUCAUGCAUCAGAUGAAACCUUGCAUAUGGUACUUGAAAUGUUGCAAGAAGCAGUAAAGGCAGGUUAGGAAUAUCUUUCUCUGGUGUGUGUGUGUUUCUGGUCUAGUCAAACUUCCACACAUAUAGAUAAAUUGGCUGAUAACAUAUAUGUUAAUGUUAAAUAUCUCUAUGGAAAUCGCUAAUUUACUCUUCCUAUCCCCACACAAUUGACUUCUUUUUUUUUCUUUCUUUUUUGUAAUACAAAUAACUGUUUGGUUCAAAUGCUCGCUGAGAAAUUUGGCCUUUUCAUUCAAUAACCAAGGUAAGGUAUAUUAGGAGUUAUAACUUUUCAUAUCGUUGCAGUAAAUAUUUCAUUUUCAUUCUCAAAAUAAAUCUAUUGCUACAUCAGUAUAGGAUGAUGUUUUAAUGUCUGUAUAUUUGCUUAUGAGCAAACUGGAACCGGUAAAACAUUUACCAUGGAGGGAACGCCAGAAGAGAGGGGAGUUAAUUACCGAACACUUGAAGAAUUGUUAAGAUAUCUGAAGAGAGAAAGGGUGUAAUGAAGUAUGACUUACAUGUUGGUGUAAUGAAGUAUGACUUACAUGUUAGUAUGUUGGAGGUUUACAAUGACCAGAUAAGAGAUCUUCUAGUGGAAAACUCUACCCAGCCUACUAAGAAGUCUACAAAUUCAUGAAGGAGCAUAAGAAUCAUAAGGUUCGUAGUGAGGGAAUUUUGUGGAUGGUUUCUGCUGUUGAGGAUUUAUGUGUAUCACAUUUAAAUCGUAAGGUCUGUUAUCAAUUUUUUUUGGUAAUCAAGUUAUGUUGUCUGUGUGUGUUUUUUUUUUUUUUUUUAUAAACUAUGUUGUCUAUAGGUGAUUCCAUGUAUUAAAUUUAAAUUUAAAUACUACUAUUAUAGAUUUUUUAUAUGCAAAUUUUUCUAAAUUUUAAU
Molecule: long non-coding RNA, 3284 nt
Organism: Trifolium pratense (red clover)
Lineage: Eukaryota; Viridiplantae; Streptophyta; Magnoliopsida; Fabales; Fabaceae
Exons: 17
Source: RefSeq, a predicted model, not a curated record